GCCGAGGUGGCGGAAUCGGUAGACGCGAGGGACUUAAAAUCCCUUGGGUGGAUAGCCCGUGCGGGUUCGAGUCCCGCCCUCGGCAC
RNAcentral lists this transfer RNA (86 nucleotides) under subsurface metagenome. RNAcentral's name for it is "tRNA-Leu". It matches the Rfam family "tRNA". Rfam says of the family: Transfer RNA (tRNA) molecules are approximately 80 nucleotides in length. Their secondary structure includes four short double-helical elements and three loops (D, anti-codon, and T loops). Further hydrogen bonds mediate the characteristic L-shaped molecular structure. tRNAs have two regions of fundamental functional importance: the anti-codon, which is responsible for specific mRNA codon recognition, and the 3' end, to which the tRNAs corresponding amino acid is attached (by aminoacyl-tRNA synthetases). tRNAs cope with the degeneracy of the genetic code in two manners: having more than one tRNA (with a specific anti-codon) for a particular amino acid; and 'wobble' base-pairing, i.e. permitting non-standard base-pairing at the 3rd anti-codon position. The record is from RNAcentral.